Molecule: ribosomal RNA, 277 nt
Filed under: uncultured bacterium
Lineage: Bacteria
Description: partial 16S ribosomal RNA
Rfam family: Bacterial small subunit ribosomal RNA
Source: RNAcentral
UACGGAGGGUGCAAGCGUUAAUCGGAAUUACUGGGCGUAAAGCGCGCGUAGGCGGCUUAGUAAGUCGGAUGUGAAAGCCCCCGGGCUUAACCUGGGAACUGCAUUCGAUACUGCUGGGCUAGAGUAUGGAAGAGGGAAGUGGAAUUCCGGGUGUAGCGGUGAAAUGCGUAGAUAUCCGGAGGAACACCAGUGGCGAAGGCGACUUCCUGGGCCAAUACUGACGCUGAGGUGCGAAAAGCGUGGGGGAGCAAAACAGGAUUAGAUACCCCUGUAGUCC